UUCCAUCUGGAAGAAUCUGGAGACAGGUGCUGCAUGGCUGUCGUCAGCUCGUGUCGUGAGAUGUUGGGUUAAGUCCCGCAACGAGCGCAACCCUUGCCUUUAGUUGCCAGCAGUUCGGCUGGGCACUCUAAAGGGACUGCCGGUGUUAAACCGGAGGAAGGUGGGGAUGACGUCAAGUCCUCAUGGCCUUUAUGACCAGGGCUACACACGUACUACAAUGGCCGAUACAAAGGGCAGCGACACUGCGAGGUGAAGCCAAUCCCGUAAAAUCGGUCUCAGUCCGGAUUGGAGUCUGCAACUCGACUCCAUGAAGUUGGAAUCGCUAGUAAUCGUGGAUCAGCAUGCCACGGUGAAUACGUUCCCGGGCCUU
RNAcentral lists this ribosomal RNA (370 nucleotides) under uncultured Desulfobulbus sp. RNAcentral's name for it is "bacterial SSU rRNA". It matches the Rfam family "Bacterial small subunit ribosomal RNA", at positions 1014 to 1382 of the family's 1533-position model. Lineage: Bacteria; Pseudomonadati; Thermodesulfobacteriota; Desulfobulbia; Desulfobulbales; Desulfobulbaceae. The record is from RNAcentral.